AACGAACGCUGGCGGCAUGCCUAACACAUGCAAGUCGAACGCCCUGGUUCGCCAGGGGAGUGGCGCACGGGUGAGUAACGCGUGGGAACCUGCCCGGCAGUACGGGACAACCGCGGGAAACUGCGGCUGAUACCGUAUACGGCCUGAGGGCGAAAGAAUUUCGCUGUCGGAGGGGCCCGCGUCGGAUUAGGUAGUUGGUGGGGUAACGGCCUACCAAGCCUGCGAUCCGUAGCUGGUCUGAGAGGAUGAUCAGCCACACUGGGACUGAGACACGGCCCAGACUCCUACGGGAGGCAGCAGUGGGGAAUAUUGGACAAUGGGCGCAAGCCUGAUCCAGCAAUGCCGCGUGAGUGAUGAAGGCCUUAGGGUUGUAAAGCUCUUUCGCCCGCGACGAUGAUGACGGUAGCGGGAGAAGAAGCCCCGGCUAACUCCGUGCCAGCAGCCGCGGUAAUACGGAGGGGGCUAGCGUUGUUCGGAAUUACUGGGCGUAAAGGGCGCGCA
This 501-nucleotide ribosomal RNA is filed under the name uncultured bacterium. RNAcentral describes it as "bacterial SSU rRNA". It matches the Rfam family "Bacterial small subunit ribosomal RNA", at positions 28 to 573 of the family's 1533-position model. The record is from RNAcentral.